This 894-nucleotide ribosomal RNA is filed under the name Niesslia tenuis. RNAcentral describes it as "partial large subunit ribosomal RNA". It matches the Rfam family "Eukaryotic large subunit ribosomal RNA", at positions 38 to 964 of the family's 3401-position model. The record is from RNAcentral. Lineage: Eukaryota; Fungi; Ascomycota; Sordariomycetes; Hypocreales; Niessliaceae.
GCAUAUCAAUAAGCGGAGGAAAAGAAACCAACAGGGAUUGCCCCAGUAACGGCGAGUGAAGCGGCAACAGCUCAAAUUUGAAAUCUGGCCCCCAGGGCCCGAGUUGUAAUUUGUAGAGGAUGCUUUUGGCGCGGUGCCUUCCGAGUUCCCUGGAACGGGACGCCAUAGAGGGUGAGAGCCCCGUCUGGUUGGACACCUAGCCUCUGUAAAGCUCCUUCGACGAGUCGAGUAGUUUGGGAAUGCUGCUCUAAAUGGGAGGUAUAUGUCUUCUAAAGCUAAAUACCGGCCAGAGACCGAUAGCGCACAAGUAGAGUGAUCGAAAGAUGAAAAGCACUUUGAAAAGAGGGUUAAAUAGUACGUGAAAUUGUUGAAAGGGAAGCGUUUGUGACCAGACUUGGGCCCGGUUGAUCAUCCACCGUUCUCGGUGGUGCACUCUGCCGGCCCAGGCCAGCAUCAGUUCGCGCCGGGGGAUAAAGGCUUCGGGAAUGUGGCUCCUCCGGGAGUGUUAUAGCCCGUUGUGUAAUACCCUGGUGCGGACUGAGGUUCGCGCUCCGCAAGGAUGCUGGCGUAAUGGUCAUCAGCGACCCGUCUUGAAACACGGACCAAGGAGUCGUCUUCGUAUGCGAGUGUUCGGGUGUCAAACCCCUACGCGUAAUGAAAGUGAACGCAGGUGAGAGCUUCGGCGCAUCAUCGACCGAUCCUGAUGUUCUCGGAUGGAUUUGAGUAAGAGCAUACGGGGCCGGACCCGAAAGAAGGUGAACUAUGCCUGUAUAGGGUGAAGCCAGAGGAAACUCUGGUGGAGGCUCGCAGCGGUUCUGACGUGCAAAUCGAUCGUCAAAUAUGGGCAUGGGGGCGAAAGACUAAUCGAACCUUCUAGUAGCUGGUUUCCGCCGA